This 972-nucleotide unclassified non-coding RNA is filed under the name Homarus americanus (American lobster). Its description in RNAcentral is "uncharacterized protein C10orf82 homolog, transcript variant X4". The record is from RNAcentral. Lineage: Eukaryota; Metazoa; Arthropoda; Malacostraca; Decapoda; Nephropidae.
GAGAAGCACAGCUGCGAGCCGCCAUAUUGAUCCCUGGUUGCUAUAGCACUAGUGUAAACAGAACCCGCAGCACGGAGCCACCCUACUGAAUAAUGGGAGAGGUGACCAGACCAAGGACACCGCUCUUCGCCAACCGCCCUUACAUCGUCGGCUACUCGGGUUACAUCCCCGGCCUAAUGUUCCGCUACGGCAAGACCUUCGGUAAAGCGGCAGAGGAGAGCAUCGCUUUGUACAUCCGGCAACAGGCUGAUCGGCGAAGUAGAGAGGAGGUGAAGCGAUCGAGGUCACUACCCAGACUCAAGCCCAAGAGAACAGAGUCACAGGUGAUCGAGGACUUCUACAGCAAAUACGGAAUCGACGGACGCAGUAACCCCAACUACCCGCCUCUCCCUGGCUACACUGGUUACAUCCCCCAAAUGAAACCCACCGACUUGGGUAUCGGCAGGACCUUCAGCGCCGCCGCCAGGAGAGGCCUCGCCCACGUCACCGUCGCCCGGGAGCAGAGGGAGGCACUGAACCCUCGUCUCCACGUUGCCAUUCCAACUACGCACCAAACCACCGCGCCCUCCUAGUCCAUGUGAAGCGCCAACUACACGCCACGACACCACCACGCCCAACCACAACCACCAUCCACGCCCGCCACCACCACGCCCGCUGCACGAUCCACAAGUAGCCAACCAACACGCCACGCUACUACUACCACCACCUUCCACCACACGUCGUCCGUUUAAUCACCCUUGGAGAGCUGAGACAACAAGCCGCCAUCUUUAGUCUGCCGUUGUACUUGUCUCCAGCGUUUAGUCUCCUGAACAGCUAGACCCAAUACCUGUUGAGUUGAGGUAAGGCACAGACCAUGGUCACCCCACCUCGUCACACCCUGUAUACUGUGCUAGGCUGAAGGUCAUGGCCGCCUCCUCCUCACUCCUUAAACAACAUCCAGAUGAAAUAAUAAAUAUUCCACUUCUAGUAAUA